This 1556-nucleotide ribosomal RNA is filed under the name Escherichia coli. Its description in RNAcentral is "bacterial SSU rRNA". It matches the Rfam family "Bacterial small subunit ribosomal RNA". Lineage: Bacteria; Pseudomonadati; Pseudomonadota; Gammaproteobacteria; Enterobacterales; Enterobacteriaceae. RNAcentral also lists the same sequence under 1 other name. The record is from RNAcentral.
UUAAAUUGAAGAGUUUGAUCAUGGCUCAGAUUGAACGCUGGCGGCAGGCCUAACACAUGCAAGUCGAACGGUAACAGGAAACAGCUUGCUGUUUCGCUGACGAGUGGCGGACGGGUGAGUAAUGUCUGGGAAACUGCCUGAUGGAGGGGGAUAACUACUGGAAACGGUAGCUAAUACCGCAUAACGUCGCAAGACCAAAGAGGGGGACCUUCGGGCCUCUUGCCAUCGGAUGUGCCCAGAUGGGAUUAGCUAGUAGGUGGGGUAAAGGCUCACCUAGGCGACGAUCCCUAGCUGGUCUGAGAGGAUGACCAGCCACACUGGAACUGAGACACGGUCCAGACUCCUACGGGAGGCAGCAGUGGGGAAUAUUGCACAAUGGGCGCAAGCCUGAUGCAGCCAUGCCGCGUGUAUGAAGAAGGCCUUCGGGUUGUAAAGUACUUUCAGCGGGGAGGAAGGGAGUAAAGUUAAUACCUUUGCUCAUUGACGUUACCCGCAGAAGAAGCACCGGCUAACUCCGUGCCAGCAGCCGCGGUAAUACGGAGGGUGCAAGCGUUAAUCGGAAUUACUGGGCGUAAAGCGCACGCAGGCGGUUUGUUAAGUCAGAUGUGAAAUCCCCGGGCUCAACCUGGGAACUGCAUCUGAUACUGGCAAGCUUGAGUCUCGUAGAGGGGGGUAGAAUUCCAGGUGUAGCGGUGAAAUGCGUAGAGAUCUGGAGGAAUACCGGUGGCGAAGGCGGCCCCCUGGACGAAGACUGACGCUCAGGUGCGAAAGCGUGGGGAGCAAACAGGAUUAGAUACCCUGGUAGUCCACGCCGUAAACGAUGUCGACUUGGAGGUUGUGCCCUUGAGGCGUGGCUUCCGGAGCUAACGCGUUAAGUCGACCGCCUGGGGAGUACGGCCGCAAGGUUAAAACUCAAAUGAAUUGACGGGGGCCCGCACAAGCGGUGGAGCAUGUGGUUUAAUUCGAUGCAACGCGAAGAACCUUACCUGGUCUUGACAUCCACGGAAGUUUUCAGAGAUGAGAAUGUGCCUUCGGGAACCGUGAGACAGGUGCUGCAUGGCUGUCGUCAGCUCGUGUUGUGAAAUGUUGGGUUAAGUCCCGCAACGAGCGCAACCCUUAUCCUUUGUUGCCAGCGGUCCGGCCGGGAACUCAAAGGAGACUGCCAGUGAUAAACUGGAGGAAGGUGGGGAUGACGUCAAGUCAUCAUGGCCCUUACGACCAGGGCUACACACGUGCUACAAUGGCGCAUACAAAGAGAAGCGACCUCGCGAGAGCAAGCGGACCUCAUAAAGUGCGUCGUAGUCCGGAUUGGAGUCUGCAACUCGACUCCAUGAAGUCGGAAUCGCUAGUAAUCGUGGAUCAGAAUGCCACGGUGAAUACGUUCCCGGGCCUUGUACACACCGCCCGUCACACCAUGGGAGUGGGUUGCAAAAGAAGUAGGUAGCUUAACCUUCGGGAGGGCGCUUACCACUUUGUGAUUCAUGACUGGGGUGAAGUCGUAACAAGGUAACCGUAGGGGAACCUGCGGUUGGAUCACCUCCUUACCUUAAAGAAGC